GAAAAGUGAAGUAUACGGUAGAUUUUGUCCGUAUAUAAUUUUAUGUAAUUAAAUUUUUGCUUAGAAACGUAAUAUUAACGUUUAAUAUAUACUGCUAAUUGCUUUAAGCUGUCGACAUGUGCGCAAGGAUUAGAAUGUGUAAUUUGACAUGAGGUCGAAUUAUUAUAAACAAUAGGUUCUAACACUGUGUUAAAUUUGACGUGUGUAAAAGUCACGGAUUGCAUUAAUAUAAUAUAUAGGAUAUAGUUAGGAAUAGUUAGUUCUUGGUCUGAUGGCAAUGACAUGUUUGAUUGACGGAUAAAAUUGUACAACCCAUACUUAGAAGAAAAAAAGAAAGUUUCAACUUGAUACUAUGGUAGCUGAAACAGACCAAUACAAAUCCAAGAAGAAGAAAUGGUUUACCAGUUUACCAAAUUGAGAUUUCCUGAGACAGGAUUUAGAGUGAAACCUGAACUUUAUAAAUAUUACGUGAUGUGUUAUAGUGUUUUGAAAUUAGGACACUUGAAGAUUUAAAAAAGACAAUUUGUGUUCUCUGUGUUUGGGAUUAAUGAAUUUUCGUAGGACUUUGAAGUACAUAUGAACUUUUUGGAUAGCUUUUGCAUGCAACUUUUGAUUUUUGAUUAUUUGUGUUCUUCUUUCACAGCUUUGAUUUAAAGUAUAGUAAUCAUUUAUAUUUGCCUGUUGCGUGAAUAAUUAGUUAGAAUAUCUAUAUUUUAUAUAUAUUCUUAAAGGGGGAAGAAUUGUAGCACUAUCGUCGUUGCGACAUUGUUUUUAAAUUUAUAGACAAGGAAUAGAGAAAUAAGAUGGGUUAAACAACAUUAUUUAUCUUUACAAAUUAUUCUCUAUUGUCAGUAUAUUAAGGUAUAAGUUUAUUUAAAACGCAAAUUAACUGUUUAUGAAAUAGCGUGAGAAUAACAGGAAAGAGGGUCUGAGUUCAAGGAUAGAUUGUGUCGAGAAACAUGUGACGGAAAAUUACGAUUGCAUCAUUUAGCUUGUUUGACCAAUCUCUAUACUUAUUUACAUGAUAUUUGACCAAUUAGAUAAUUGAACGUCCAAAACCCACAGCUACAAAACUAUCAUACUUGUGAGAAUUCGUUAGACUUCCAUUAGAUUCCAGAGAGCUUCCAUCUGAGUUCCUAGACAGCCGCGAGGCUGGCUAGGGUAGAGAAGUGGUUUUAGCUAUAUAGUAUUGUAAUUUGUGCUAUGCUUGUAUACCUGUAUUCAGUUAUAUGCUAUAUAAAAUGUAGAAGCGAA
Patella vulgata (common limpet) is the source of this 1254-nucleotide long non-coding RNA. RefSeq lists it as uncharacterized. The record is from RefSeq and is a predicted model, not a curated record. Lineage: Eukaryota; Metazoa; Mollusca; Gastropoda; Patellidae. The transcript is spliced from 2 exons.